This 726-nucleotide ribosomal RNA is filed under the name uncultured bacterium. RNAcentral's name for it is "bacterial SSU rRNA". It matches the Rfam family "Bacterial small subunit ribosomal RNA", at positions 139 to 851 of the family's 1533-position model. The record is from RNAcentral.
GGGGAUAACACUUGGAAACAGGUGCUAAUACCGUAUAACACUAUUUUCCGCAUGGAAGAAAGUUGAAAGGCGCUUUUGCGCCACUGAUGGAUGGACCCGCGGUGCAUUAGCUAGUUGGUGUGGUAACGGCUCACCAAGGCCACGAUGCAUAGCCGACCUGAGAGGGUGAUCGGCCACACUGGGACUGAGACACGGCCCAGACUCCUACGGGAGGCAGCAGUAGGGAAUCUUCGGCAAUGGACGAAAGUCUGACCGAGCAACGCCGCGUGAGUGAAGAAGGUUUUCGGAUCGUAAAACUCUGUUGUUAGAGAAGAACAAGGAUGAGAGUAAAACGUUCAUCCCUUGACGGUAUCUAACCAGAAAGCCACGGCUAACUACGUGCCAGCAGCCGCGGUAAUACGUAGGUGGCAAGCGUUGUCCGGAUUUAUUGGGCGUAAAGCGAGCGCAGGCGGUUUCUUAAGUCUGAUGUGAAAGCCCCCGGCUCAACCGGGGAGGGUCAUUGGAAACUGGGAGACUUGAGUGCAGAAGAGGAGAGUGGAAUUCCAUGUGUAGCGGUGAAAUGCGUAGAUAUAUGGAGGAACACCAGUGGCGAAGGCGGCUCUCUGGUCUGUAACUGACGCUGAGGCUCGAAAGCGUGGGGAGCGAACAGGAUUAGAUACCCUGGUAGUCCACGCCGUAAACGAUGAGUGCUAAGUGUUGGAGGGUUUCCGCCCUUCAGUGCUACAG